Molecule: ribosomal RNA, 1524 nt
Filed under: uncultured Bacillus sp.
Lineage: Bacteria; Bacillati; Bacillota; Bacilli; Caryophanales; Bacillaceae
Description: bacterial SSU rRNA
Rfam family: Bacterial small subunit ribosomal RNA
Source: RNAcentral
AGAGUUUGAUCAUGGCUCAGGACGAACGGACGAACGCUGGCGGCGUGCCUAAUACAUGCAAGUCGAGCGAAUGGAUGGGAGCUUGCUCCCUGAAGUUAGCGGCGGACGGGUGAGUAACACGUGGGCAACCUGGCCUAUAAGACUGGGAUAACUUCGGGAAACCGGAGCUAAUACCGGAUACGUUCUUUUCUCGCAUGAGAGAAGAUGGAAAGACGGUUUACGCUGUCACUUAUAGAUGGGCCCGCGGCGCAUUAGCUAGUUGGUGAGGUAAUGGCUCACCAAGGCGACGAUGCGUAGCCGACCUGAGAGGGUGAUCGGCCACACUGGGACUGAGACACGGCCCAGACUCCUACGGGAGGCAGCAGUAGGGAAUCUUCCGCAAUGGACGAAAGUCUGACGGAGCAACGCCGCGUGAACGAAGAAGGCCUUCGGGUCGUAAAGUUCUGUUGUUAGGGAAGAACAAGUACCAGAGUAACUGCUGGUACCUUGACGGUACCUAACCAGAAAGCCACGGCUAACUACGUGCCAGCAGCCGCGGUAAUACGUAGGUGGCAAGCGUUGUCCGGAAUUAUUGGGCGUAAAGCGCGCGCAGGUGGUUCCUUAAGUCUGAUGUGAAAGCCCCCGGCUCAACCGGGGAGGGUCAUUGGAAACUGGGGAACUUGAGUGCAGAAGAGGAUAGUGGAAUUCCAAGUGUAGCGGUGAAAUGCGUAGAGAUUUGGAGGAACACCAGUGGCGAAGGCGACUGUCUGGUCUGUAACUGACACUGAGGCGCGAAAGCGUGGGGAGCAAACAGGAUUAGAUACCCUGGUAGUCCACGCCGUAAACGAUGAGUGCUAAGUGUUGGGGGGUUUCCGCCCCUCAGUGCUGCAGCUAACGCAUUAAGCACUCCGCCUGGGGAGUACGGCCGCAAGGCUGAAACUCAAAGGAAUUGACGGGGGCCCGCACAAGCGGUGGAGCAUGUGGUUAAAUUGGAAGCAACGUGAAGACCCUUUCCAGGUCUUGACAUCCUCUGACAACCCUAGAGAUAGGGCGUUCCCCUUCGGGGGACAGAGUGACAGGUGGUGCAUGGUUGUCGUCAGCUCGUGUCGUGAGAUGUUGGUUUAAGUCCCGCAACGAGCGCAACCCUUGAUCUUAGUUGCCAGCAUUCAGUUGGGCACUCUAAGGUGACUGCCGGUGACAAACCGGAGGAAGGUGGGGAUGACGUCAAAUCAUCAUGCCCCUUAUGACCUGGGCUACACACGUGCUACAAUGGAUGGAACAAAGGGCAGCGAACCUGCGAAGGUAAGCCAAUCCCAUAAAUCCAUUCUCAGUUCGGAUUGCAGGCUGCAACUCGCCUGCAUGAAGCCGGAAUCGCUAGUAAUCGCGGAUCAGCAUGCCGCGGUGAAUACGUUCCCGGGCCUUGUACACACCGCCCGUCACACCACGAGAGUUUGUAACACCCGAAGUCGGUGGGGUAACCUUUAUGGAGCCAGCCGCCUAAGGUGGGACAGAUGAUUGGGGUGAAGUCGUAACAAGGUAACCGUA